UCUGUGCUAGGACAGUCAGAAGAGCAUGAAACUCUUAAUCUCAGGGUUGUGGGUUCAAGCCCCAUGUCCAGCA
Non-coding RNA from Podarcis lilfordi (Lilford's wall lizard), 73 nucleotides. Lineage: Eukaryota; Metazoa; Chordata; Lepidosauria; Squamata; Lacertidae. The record is from the annotation of a GenBank genome assembly.